This 822-nucleotide long non-coding RNA is filed under the name Gadus morhua (Atlantic cod). Its description in RNAcentral is "lncRNA (ENSGMOG00000027646.1)". Lineage: Eukaryota; Metazoa; Chordata; Actinopteri; Gadiformes; Gadidae. The record is from RNAcentral.
AUGGCAACGUCUCCUGCGUACCUUCCGGUGCCCGUCACCAUGGACACCUCGGAACCGGACGGAUCUGGAGUGGUGAUGGAGCACGAGGCCAGAGCAGAACCAAUGGAACAACACGGUCAAUCAGAGCCCUCUGAAGAGCCCGGACCCACGCCAGGAGGCGGACCUCAGGUUCACUCACACUUUAUCAACAACGCAGGACUUGUGAACAACACGAUCCUGUUGAGCCAGAUCCGGAGCAGGAAGCGGGUCCACCGGCGGUCCCUGGAGCGAACAGGAAGCGGAGGGACAGCGGGAGGAGGGGGAGAGGGGAGAAGGGCCUCAGGGGGGAGAGGGGCCUCUGGAGAUGAAGCCCCAUCAUCGUCGGCCUCGGCCAGCGGCCCGGUUGCCGUGACGACAGAGGAGGGCACCAGCCUGCUCUACUUAUACCCAUUCAAGGCCCGUCAAACCCCGUCCCUCCCGGCUCCCCGGGAGUUUGUCCCGAAGGGCGUCCUGAAGCAUACCCAGUGUAAGGGGACAGAGAGCACCGUAUCCAUGGAGACAGCAGCCAAAAAGCGGCGGAUGGAGGUGGGGCGCCGGGUGCGGUUCUCUGAAGAGGUGGUUGCUAUAGCGCCCGUGGUGUUUGACAUCAGCAUGGGUUCGGACUCGGACUUGGACUCACCCCCGGAGGACUCUGAAACAGAGGAGGAGCCAGGGGGAGGGGCCAAAGAGGGGGAUGGGGCUCCGCCCCCCCCGCCCCCCCCCCCCCACCCAGGCCCCACUCCCGCCCCCCUCCCUGCCCGCCUGGAUACGAGCACUGAAGAGAAAGUCUGGGAAAAAAAAUAA